RNAcentral lists this ribosomal RNA (486 nucleotides) under uncultured bacterium. RNAcentral describes it as "bacterial SSU rRNA". It matches the Rfam family "Bacterial small subunit ribosomal RNA", at positions 28 to 507 of the family's 1533-position model. The record is from RNAcentral.
GAUGAACGCUAGCUACAGGCUUAACACAUGCAAGUCGAGGGGCAGCAUUAGGUAGCAAUACUGAGAUGGCGACCGGCGCACGGGUGCGUAACGCGUAUCCAACCUUCCCGUAGCAGGGGGAUAAGCGGAAGAAAUUCCGUCUAAUACCGCGUAAUAUCCUUUAGGGGCAUCCCUUUAGGAUUAAAGAAAUUCGGCUACGGAUGGGCAUGCGGCGCAUUAGCUAGUUGGCGGGUAACGGCCCACCAAGGCGACGAUGCGUAGGGGUUCUGAGAGGAAGGUCCCCCACACUGGUACUGAGACACGGACCAGACUCCUACGGGAGGCAGCAGUGAGGAAUAUUGGUCAAUGGGCGAGAGCCUGAACCAGCCAAGUCGCGUGAGGGAAGACGGUCCUAUGGAUUGUAAAACCUCUUUUGUCGGGGAGCAAACGAGGCCACGCGUGGCCGCAGUGAGAGUACCCGAAGAAAAAGCAUCGGCUAACUCCGUG